Molecule: long non-coding RNA, 472 nt
Filed under: Nicotiana benthamiana
Lineage: Eukaryota; Viridiplantae; Streptophyta; Magnoliopsida; Solanales; Solanaceae
Description: long non-coding RNA (NBEN_LNC021318)
Source: RNAcentral
UCUCCUCGGAUCUGACCGAAAACCAGCCUUAAGAAGUAAAAAAUGCAAAAACAGAGAAAGGAGAACUCUCAUUCUUCUGCGCCGGUUCUGGAACUUCUCCAGCGAAAGAAGAUGCCGGUGGUCGGUUUUAGUUUGUCCGACAGCUUUGUUCCUUCUUGUUCAUCAUUUUUUUUUUGGGAACUUAUUAUGUAUGAAACUGGAUUUGAGAGACAAGACUACUCUCAGUAGUUUGAAUUUGUUUUUAAGUCCUAGCAAUCACAUGGCAAACGGGGAAACUUAUUAUGUAUGAAACUAGAUUUGAGAGACAAGACUACUCUCAGUAGUGAAUUUGUUUUUAAGUCCUAGCAAUCACAUGGCAAACGGAUAGAAUAAUCAUCUACAUCUUUAAAUCCCUGCUGAUUCGAGGUUGCCGGGUUUGGUGAAGUUCUCGUCUGUAAUCGCUUUGGGUUUGUAAUUUUGGAGAAUCUCUUUU